Molecule: ribosomal RNA, 384 nt
Filed under: uncultured bacterium
Lineage: Bacteria
Description: bacterial SSU rRNA
Rfam family: Bacterial small subunit ribosomal RNA
Source: RNAcentral
GAUGAACGCUGGCGGCGUGCCUAAUACAUGCAAGUCGAGCGGUAAGGCCCAUCCAGUUUGCUUAAGCGGAGACAGGGUGAUUACGAAGUAAUCACCUCUUUCACCGAAGUGAUGUGUAAUCAUCAUUCCUCAAUACUAUGGCUAGUAACGAGGGUGCUUAAGUAAAGCGGUUGGGUACACGAGCGGCGGACGGCUGAGUAACACGUAGGAACGUACCCCAAACUGAGGGAUAACUGCUCGAAAGAGUAGCUAAUACCGCAUGUGCUCUUCGGAGUAAAGCUACGGCGGUUUGGGAACGGCCUGCGUAAGAUUAGCUAGUUGGUNAGGUAAUAGCUCACCAAGGCGACGAUCUUUAGCUGGUCUGAGAGGAUGAUCAGCCAGACU